CCCUUAAUCCAAUGGAUAAGAGUAUGAGUUUAAGAAAAUAAUUACCCAAUUUGUAGGGUAUGGGCAAUAGAUAAGGCACUACAAGAAAAAGUGUAAAACCCUAAACUUUUGGGGGAUGAUACUUGAAAUUUCUUUAAAACAAGGAGGGGUUUAACUGAAAAAAAAAAGAGAGAGAAAUGUUUAGGUGUUAAAAAAAUUUAAAUAAAGAAAACCUUAAUCAAACCUAAUAUAAAUACAAGACUUGCCCCGGGAGUCGUGAAAAAAAAAAAAAGAAAACUUUUCUCCUCUCUCAUCUCUGUGGCGCCGCCCCACUCCACCACCUAUCUAUGCCGUCCGGUCAUGUCACCGGCCAUGAACUAUGUCAAACGAAACGCCGUAUCACUAGGGACUGGCCAAGCCGCCAACCGUCGCAAGCAGCCAGAGGUUGUUUGUCGGAAUAAGGCAGCUGAAGCCGCGGUGGAACACAACAAAAACAGGGCCGAUCUGGCCACCUUAGACCACGCCACCGUUCUCGGAUGCCACCUGCGUGUUCUGUGAUGUGAGGCCGACCUAACUCAACUAGCAGCUGAUCGGAAUAGAGAUCGGAGUAGGAAGAACCAGUUUUGACAUGUUGACCCGACCCAGUGUUACUUGUUAGCUGAUCCGGUAGUCUCUUUAAUAUUUAUUAUAUUCAUUGAAGAAAAUAAGAACAAGGUUUUGAUUCCAAGAUUGGUGUUAGGCAGGUUUGAACGCAGAAUGAAUGGCCUCGGGUACACAGUAACACCGAGCCUGUACCUACUAUUUGUGUUGAAUUGUUUCUAAAGAAGAAGAGUGGUGGGCCCAUGGCUUUAGAGUUGUUAGACCUUAAAUGGUGAAGGUGAUGGUGGUGACUCUCUAGAAGCGUUGCUAGAUUUCGCAUUGGUGUCGAGGUGAGUACGUAGUUGGUGGCCAGCUUCUCGAGGCGUGAGCGGUGUCCCCAUGGAUACAGUUGUGGUUUAUGGGUAGCAUAGGGUUUGAUUAUUAAAGACUUCCGCUUUGUUAAAUUUUAAAGACUUAUUAAUUAUCUCUUAAUGGAUUUCUAAAUGCAUUUUAUUCAUUUUUUUGGGAUUAUAUUAAAUGAUUUUGGAGGAUUUACAU
Long non-coding RNA from Tripterygium wilfordii, 1116 nucleotides. RefSeq lists it as uncharacterized. NCBI's taxonomy places the organism in Eukaryota, Viridiplantae, Streptophyta, Magnoliopsida, Celastrales, Celastraceae. The transcript is spliced from 3 exons. The record is from RefSeq and is a predicted model, not a curated record.